AACGAACGCUGGCGGCAUGCCUAACACAUGCAAGUCGAACGAGAUCUUCGGAUCUAGUGGCGCACGGGUGCGUAACGCGUGGGAAUCUGCCCUGGGGUACGGAAUAACUCAGAGAAAUUUGAGCUAAUACCGGAUGAUGACGUAAGUCCAAAGAUUUAUCGCCCAAGGAUGAGCCCGCGUAAGAUUAGGUAGUUGGUGGGGUAAAGGCCUACCAAGCCGACGAUCCUUAGCUGGUCUGAGAGGAUGAUCAGCCACACUGGGACUGAGACACGGCCCAGACUCCUACGGGAGGCAGCAGUGGGGAAUAUUGGACAAUGGGCGAAAGCCUGAUCCAGCAAUGCCGCGUGAGUGAUGAAGGCCCUAGGGUUGUAAAGCUCUUUUACCCGGGAAGAUAAUGACAGUACCGGGAGAAUAAGCCCCGGCUAACUCCGUGCCAGCCGCCGCCGUAACAC
Molecule: ribosomal RNA, 452 nt
Filed under: uncultured bacterium
Lineage: Bacteria
Description: bacterial SSU rRNA
Rfam family: Bacterial small subunit ribosomal RNA
Source: RNAcentral